This 172-nucleotide small RNA is filed under the name Mycobacterium tuberculosis H37Rv. RNAcentral's name for it is "npcR 2074". The record is from RNAcentral. Lineage: Bacteria; Bacillati; Actinomycetota; Actinomycetes; Mycobacteriales; Mycobacteriaceae.
GUCUUCUUGGUCUCGGCGAUUUCGCGGACUUGAUCCCAGGUGACUUUGGCGACCUUGGUCUUGUGCGGCUCCGCCGAACCCUUCGCCACACCAGCGGCCUUAAGCAGCAGCUUGGCGGCGGGCGGCGUCUUCAGCGUGAAAGUGAAGCUACGGUCUUCAUAAACGGUGAUCU